RNAcentral lists this transfer RNA (77 nucleotides) under Gemmatimonadota bacterium. RNAcentral describes it as "Gemmatimonadetes bacterium tRNA-Arg". It matches the Rfam family "tRNA". From Rfam's summary of the family: Transfer RNA (tRNA) molecules are approximately 80 nucleotides in length. Their secondary structure includes four short double-helical elements and three loops (D, anti-codon, and T loops). Lineage: Bacteria; Pseudomonadati; Gemmatimonadota. The record is from RNAcentral.
GGGACAUUAGCUCAGCUGGAUAGAGUACUCGCCUCCGGAGCGAGAGGUCACAGGUUCGAAUCCUGUAUGUCCCACCA